This 502-nucleotide long non-coding RNA is filed under the name Homo sapiens (human). RNAcentral describes it as "HSALNT0384484". Lineage: Eukaryota; Metazoa; Chordata; Mammalia; Primates; Hominidae. The record is from RNAcentral.
UGUGGUGUGGAUGUGUGUGUUGUGUAUUUGGAUGUGCAUGACGUGGAUGUGUUUAUGUAUCUGUGUGUGUGGUGUGGAUGUGUGUGUGGUGUGAAUGUGUGUGUAGUGUAUUUGCAUGAUGUGGAUGUGUGUGUUCGGUGUAUUUGUGGGCGUAUGCAUGUGCACUGAGUGAAGUUGCGAGUGUGUAUGUGUGGUGUGAAUGUGUGUAGUGUGUGCGGUGUGGAUGUGUGUAGUGUAUUUGUGUGUGUGGUGUGUGGAUGUGUGUAGUGUAUUUAUGGUGGUGUGUGGAUGUGUGUAGUAUAUUUGUGUGUGGUGUGUGGAUGUGUGUGUUGUGUAUUUGUGCAGUGUGGAGGUGUAUUGUGUGUUUUUGUGGGUUGUGCUGUUUGUGGGUUGUGUGUGUUUGCAUGUGCGCUGUGAGUGUGCUGGAUUGCGAGUGUGUACCUGGUGAGUGUGUGGCUGCCGCACCCCUCCUCUGAGCGGUGUGGACCAGGACUCCUCUCUC